Long non-coding RNA from Numida meleagris (helmeted guineafowl), 15392 nucleotides. RefSeq lists it as uncharacterized. The transcript is spliced from 3 exons. NCBI's taxonomy places the organism in Eukaryota, Metazoa, Chordata, Aves, Galliformes, Numididae. The record is from RefSeq and is a predicted model, not a curated record.
GUCCUAGGGCCACCAUUCCCAAAAAGCACCAUAUACCUCCACGCAAGUUAAAGAUGUGAGCCAUUCUAUAGCCAAAAUAUCUCUGGUUGUAAGGUUAUCCCAGGCAAGGUUAUUGCCAUGGUUGCCUGAUUUCUCACUGUCAAAGCCCAACAAGAUGUUAAUCAUUUCUCUUUGCAGGUCAGUCUGAUGCUGUUUGCAAGUAUGCUGGUGUUUCUCCAGGAAUUCUGGACUUGAGGGUUGCUCAAAGCAACCUUCUGGAGGCCUAUGAGAAGUUCCAGCCACAGGAAUUCUACCCAGAAAACACACAGGUUUCAUACAGCACAUCCUUCUUCACUGCAAAGCAGCAGUUUAAUAAGAGCUCUGAGUAUCUCAGCAGAGGUCACUAAGUUACUUUUAAAUAUUGGCACAGAGAACGUACAGUUUCAUCUUCAGCAGAACCUCCCUUCCCAGCAAGCUCCACACUGAGAACAGAUAGCCUACCCCUGAGGUAUCAGCAUGAGGAGGAAUCACUUCUGUCCCCACUGUGAGCAGCCUCUUUGUGUCAGCCUCAGUACUACAUCCUCGGCAUGACAUGAUAGGGAACAACAUACAUGCAGUCCCUGCAUGAUUUCAAGGGAAUACGGAGAAGGCUCACACUGCUCUUACAGUCACCUUUCCAAAAGGUAUUCCCACCCCAUGCAACCAUGUCAAUUUAAUGAGAUUACAGCACAAUUAAUUCCAAGCUCAUGCUCCUCCUUAGCUACAUCUCCAACUAGAGUUGCAGCUUUCUUUCUCUGAAGAUGGAGUGGGCUUUUGUCUCCUCUAUCAAUUCUGCUGAGAAAAUGUUAAUCAUGUCAUCGGAAAUAUCAUGUGCUUUAUGGUCAGCUGUCUUUGUUUUAUUUGGAAGAUGCCUGAGUAAGUCCAAAAUAACCUGCAGCCUUAAGCUGUGCUUGAGAAAAAUUGAUUGACUGUGCUGAAGUCAUUAGAGGAAGUAAACAGUGUUAAGCAAGAUAUAUGAAAGUAUAAACCUACAUUGUUCUUUGUCCAUUUGAAGAUCACAGUGUAACAUAGAUCUAUGAUCUGUAGGUUAAAAUUGGUUGCUGACUGUGCAUCAAAUUUUAUUUUCUUACAAAAAUGGUAUAAUACAUAAAACGGAGAAGCUUAAAUUAAUGCAGACUUAGUUCCCCUUAAAUCACAUACACAAUCAACGGAGACAUGUUUUUUUUUCAUAACACAAAUACAACAGUAGAAAUGCCCAAUGUGUGCUAUCACUUAUGUGUUGCCCACUCCUAAAGGCAAAAUUGUCUGUGUGCCUGUGUAGGGAACAUAAUGAAAACUGUAAAAGUUAAAUAUGAAAUAGUGUGUUAAUAUAGGUCCACCCUCAAACACUAAACUAAGACAAAAUCCAAAUGGAAAAAUAUUAAAAAUAAAUGUCCCUUCUCUCUAAAACAAGAACACGGAAAAAAGUCACCCUGCAACAAGGUUAACCCUUUGUGUUUUUUGGAGCCUGUAGACCUCAAAGCAAUACGCCAGUGGGAGUUGUCAGCAUGCUUCAUCCUCGUUUAACAGUGGGAGGAAGCUGAUACAGCCCAUCUGUUUCAUUUUGGAGGUACAAAGCUUAGGAAGAUGAGAUGCUGAUUUGUCACACGUAAUUUGACCUUAUGAAUGACAAUGUCAUGAAGAGAGCUCAGGUCUUCUUUGUGGUUGCUCUGCCCUCCUUGCCUUUGAUCAAACCAGCUCCUUUCCUUUGGCGCAUCUGUUAAAGACAAUAGCUAAUGAGCAGCCUUGCAGCAGCGGUUGUGCUCUGACCAGCACGUAAUUCAAUCGCACAAAAGAAAGUAAUGCUGAUUGUCGUUACAGUUAUAGUUAAUAUAAAUGUCUCAUAGGAGAAAUAAUCUCCAGCACACCCAUUUUCAAGCCACAAAGACUUCGGGCUUCAGUCUGCUCCUUUUGACUAAUGCUACUCAGUUUUUUACAUGAAGUGCCUCUUGUGACAUCACUUCUGGGUCUUGCCAAUGGUUCUUGUGCCACUAAAAUCGCACAGAAUGCAUACAACAGCAACUGAAAAAUAAGCUGUAUUUUUUCCUUGAUCUUGUCUGAGUAGAUUUUGCUUUUUAUGCAAACGCUCUCAGCUGUGGCCAUAGCAUAGAAGCUGCAUUGUGCAAUUGCCACUGCUGAUGGCACAAUCAGCUUUGCUGAGACACUUUCUCUAUUAGUGUCCUGCUGUGAGCAUCUAAAGGAGAACUUUGACUGUAGACUGCAAAGAUGGUGGAAGCAAAGGCUUGAAUAAACCACCCAUAAUGUUGGUUUUGCAUUUCAAGGAAAAAUGGUAAUUCUCUUUCUCCACUGCACAAUUUAACUUUCCAGCUCUAUGAGACAAAGAGAGAUACCCAAUGAAGUAAAAAAAGGUUGUAAUUAUAUGAUAUCAGGAAGGGAAUACAUGUAGUGUCUGUAUCAGCAGCAAAUUCCCAUCUAAGAAAUGGAAAAAAAAAUUUUAAGUAUAUAAUCUAUCAUAACGUUAAAGGCUGGAGCCAGAGGAAGAAAAAAAACCUCGGCUUUUCAGUUAAUUACCUCCUAGAAAUUAGUUCAGUGGUUCCCAGUAGACUGAACAAGAAUUAGUUCAAUGAACAGGAGGAUUCACAUGGAAAAACUCUAAAUUCAUUUUGGUUUUCCAAGUAUUCUCUGCUUGGUGAGAUUCCCAGCCACUAGCGCUGUACUUGCCUGGACUGUUUUUAACCUGUUUGUAUCAGUACUGGUGGCCUGUAGAGAAGUGCUUUGAGACCUAUAGUACCAGAAAGUGCAACAUGCAUCAUACUGCUGCUGGUUUUAAUGAUGGGUAUGAAAUGGAGAUAAAUUAACUGCCUCCACCAAGCUGAGAGUGAACCUUAAAAUCGAACAAAAGCUUGACAUGCAUCAAACCACAAAGCUGUUGAGAUAGUUCAGGCUUGCUUCUUGUUGUUGCUGGAGUUUUAUUGUUACAUAUUACCUCAUGCAAAUUUUGUUUCCCAUGUGCUUCCCCAGAAUGGCCAGAUCCUUGCGCAACAAGGCUGGCACCUGUCCACAGAGGAGAGCAGGCUCUGGGAGGGCACUGGUUCCAGCCCCUGCUCCUGCAAACUCACUUGGGUUAAGGACCAGGGCUAAAAAAAGUAAAGAAUGGCAGAAAGUAGCUGUUUGCUGUGAAUGAAAAGACACUUCACGUAAAACCAAGAGCUCACAAAGACAAGCUUUUCACCCACAAUGUCAGGCUCUGUAGGCAUGGAGAAAAAGGCCUCUCUAUGACCCUGUCCUCCAGAGGCCAUGAGGAGGCAAAAGGCGUCAGUGAGGCAGUAAGGAGGUACGAUUGCUGGAGGUAAGAUCAAGCCAAAGGGAGCUGUUACAUGACCUGUCACCAGAUCUGGAGCAAAACUACUGUCUACUGAAAAACCACCCACUAGCUGCUGCAGGUCUGCCUCAGAGCCCACCAAAAGCAUUGGGAGGACACAUGGAGUCUUCAUGGGCCGCUUCAUGGGCUCUGUCUGGUCAAUUCUGAAGGUCCCUUCCACAGGGACAAUGAGAUGUUUGGGCCUCCAGUGCAAAACAAUAGCUUUUGGGAACUGUUAAAAAGCCCAAAAUGUCCCUCCAGAUCCUGCUUAUCAAAGCUUUAAGGCUGACAGUUGUGAUUAUGAUGAGCUUUCCUCAACUUGUUGUCAAAUUACAUUUAUCUUCCUGUCAGGCCUUCUUGUACCUGAGCAAUAACGAAUGCACCAGCAGUUUAAAGCACAUUUCCCCAGCCUCCCUCUCUAGGAACCACUCCAAGUACUGUCAUUCACCUGACCCAGAUACUGUAUUAUUUUGCCAACAUUUCUCCAGACCACUCUUGAUACUUUCAAAAACCCCACUUCUCAGCCUACAGUGUAGCUACACAGUAGUUGCUAUUCUUAAAUGCAAGCUUGUCAAAGCAGAGCACAGCAGGUAUUAAUAACCAGCUGCUGCUUUCCUUCUCAAGCAAAGCAAUGAGGAGCAGCUGAAGAUCUGUUUAUACAAUUCUUAAAGAGCAAAGUUCUUCAUUCCCCCCAGAAGCAUUGUUGAUUCAAUUGAAGAACUCCCCUUGGGGAGGGGGUUGCUUGCAGAAAGGUUACAGCCCGUUAAGAUAAAAUUAUCUCCAUCAAUUGUCAGCUCUUCAACCUAAUGGUGAUGAUCUUGAAUAGUUUGCUCUACUCUGUAAAACUACAUACACAGCUUAAUUAUAUUAAUUAGUAAAAUAGUAUUAUCAUAAAGAAUCUGGCUCUAUAUCUCAGUGCUAGAAAGGAAAGUAAAAAAAAUAUGAAAAAUAAUUUAAAAACCCUAAAUGAAAAUAGUACAAAUUAGUCUGAAUGACACCUGUCACUUAUUAAAUAGGAACUGGUCACUGUUGUGUUUUGACUGCUAAAAAUCUGUUUUCAUGCCUGUUCCAAGAUCUGCAAAAUGGACUUAAAAACAUGUUUGUUCAUGAGUGGGUUUUCUAGGGUUUUUUUAAUUUGGUUGAUUUUGGUUGUUAUUGUUGUGAUGGUUUUUCUUUAUACUUGCAAUGAAUGCAACAUAGGAAUGCUUACUGAUGUCCUUCCAAAGGGAUAUGUUUCAGUACUAGGAACUUAUGCUUAAAAAUAUAAAAAGGCGCUGUAAAGGUAGGUAGUUGAAGCAACAAGGUGGUUAUGCAAGGCUAUACCUGGUUCCUAGAAAUGUGUAAUCUCAAGCUUUCCCAAUUUGUCUAGAGUAAACUGAAAAGAAGUGAAGAGAGCAUAAAUUGAUGAUCUUCAUCAAGCCUGAGACGUGUAGGACUCAAAGAAUGAUGUUUUGUGGGUUCGCAGUAGACACCAAAGCGAGUCAGUGUUACGUUUCAUAUUUCCUGCAGGGGAGCAUCAGCAGUCACAUGAUGUUCAGGAACAAAAACCAAGCUCUGUUCUGUGCUUUGUUUUCUGAUCAUAAACCCAUCUUUCACACUGAAGAUUAUAUCUGCUUUUACUGUGUCUAUCAGAUGCUUUGUCCUUGUUUCAAAGCUGUACAUUACUUCAACCACGUGUUUACAGCUGAAGUAGUGUUACCUUUGAGUAAAAGGAAUAGAUUUGGUCCCUCAUUUUUAAAACUGCUCCAAAACUAUCUGAAUCGUUGACUUUAUUCCUCAUUAAGUGUGGUAAACCGAGAAAAUUCCUGAGAAUGACAAGCCAGGAAAUCUAGAGGGAUUCUAGAGGGAUAAACACAGAUGCUGCACGAUCUAUACAGUCCUGGAAAACAAAUCGUAAUAAGCAAUUUUCCCUGGUUGAAAUCGGGGAGAGGAAAGAGGAUAGAGAAUUCAAAGGUUGAUGACUUAAGAAAACUCAGUAUAAAAGAUUUUACUACAUAAUAGGUCAAGUAAGCUUAACUUAGUUGAUGAGGUUAUAAUUUGACAAUUUUGUGCAGAUAUUCUGUGUUGUGCACUUCAAAUUAAAAUGAAUGGCAGUACCUAAAAUUAGUUGAAUUAUGUUAAUAAUUAACUGUGAACAGGAAGACACCAUCUUGAAGAAGACUUUCUAGUGGGGCGCCAUGUAGGCCUUUCAUUCAAUUAUUUCUUGCAUUCAAUUGCAUUCAAUUAUUUCUUUAUGCUGCUCUGAAAGAAAAUAGAAUUAAGGAUAAAAUUUGCAGAGGACACAAAUUACUGAAGUAUGAAUAAAAAUGAGGUGAAUUCAUUUGUACAGAUGGAAUUCCAUCACUUGACUACAUGAUGGCGCUGAGCAUAUAUUUGGGAAAGAAGAGAUGUGUGACUAGCAGAGGGAGCUCAUGUGAUACAUCAGUAGCUAGAACCAUAUCUGUGUCAUUCUUGGAAUACUAUUUCUAUUUUCAUAGCAUCAACACCAGAAUUUAUGUUGAGAGAUCAAAAGGGAUUAGCAGGGAAGGCCAAAGAAUGACUUGAGGUCUUGACAGGGCACUUCAGGAAGAUGCUUCAAUUUGAUGCAUAAUGUAAUUUGUGUUUCAGCGUGAUUAGACCACAUGAAAGACUUCUGAUUACAGUAGGAUCUCUUAUCUGGUGAAUGAGUGAAAGCUCAAGGCAGACAGACUCAAGCUAGGAAUCAAGUGAAAGUUUUACCAAGGGAAAAACUAGCCCUUGAACAACACAGCCUACAAAAUUGUUUAAUUUUUAAUUUUCAUCAUCCUGGAUCUCUUAGGAAGGAAGGAACGUGGCUGUAAAGUCCUACUCCAGAUGAAGAAUUGUUAGGCAGGAGACACUAGGUGAACUGGUGUUUAUAACUCGUGUUAGAGUGUUUGCCAGGAACUUUUUAGUAAAAUGAACCCGAGACCAAUUUGUCCCUGCACAGUGGCACUCUUCAAGCCAAGAAGACAGAUCCGUGAUGUUUCCUUUGGUUUUCUGCAGAGGUACAAAAUAAACAGUAGCCACUAAGAUCAUAAAUUUAGCUGCAUGGCAACUUUCAGGAAAGGCAGCAAGAGUUUUAUAAAUAGGGGCAGGCAAAGCAACAGAGAUGACAAAGUUAGAAACAACCUCACCCUGGACCACAGAAAAAUAUUUACAAAAAUGUGUGUAAAAAUUAGACUAUAAAAAACUGUUAGUGACUAAAAUCAGAAUGUUUUAUGUGAAUAAUGUACCCCAAGGGAGACAUCUGAUGGUUAUUUGCAUCAUGACUGACAUUUUCAAAGAUGACAUCCCAGGAGAGUAGCCCAAUAAGCCUUGAUUUUUAGUGGUGCAAUUCUGCUUUGAGAAGUUUGGUCUAAGUAUAGCCAUUCCUAUCAGCUGUGGUGAUAUCCCUCUGGUCCAGUAUUUGCUCACUGGAAUUGAGCCCCUUCUAAGCAGUCCGUGAGAUCUGCCAUUUAGAGCGGCCAUAUGUUAGCUGUGUUGAAGUAUUAUUCAGGGAGAAAAUUCGUAGCGUAGGAGAGCAAGGGCUUCUGCCACAAGGUAGCCAGAAAUAGUCUGUGGUACACCCAAAGUAAUGUGAUAUAUAUAAAGCAUACAAAGCCUUCCUUCCAGAUCCCAGGACACCAGCACACCUAGCCUCAGUUUGACAGAUGCACAGUCAUUCGUAUGUUCAGCUGGGGUCAAGGAAGCAGUGCGGUUUGAGGUUUACAAAAAUAUAUUUCUUUCUCAAAAUAUCUCUGGCCAGGUCCAUCGUGGUCAGCUGGCCUCAGCUCGGUUGACAUCUCAUUUCUGGAUUACAGGGCACUGAAUCACUUUUCUUCUACUUGCAGUUUGCAUCCUCACGGAAGCAAUUUGGAGGUUAAUUUCACAUCUCCAAAAGGUGUGCUCAUCUUUAAGACUGGUUGAAGAAUAGAGACCUCCCUGCAUAGAAAUUCUCUUCCCUUCCCACUGUCAGUGAAAACAGUGGCCCUGGAUUUCCUCCAAGUUAAAAAAAGAGAACAUGGAUUUAAUGCAAAUUGUUACUCAGUAAAUGUCAUGGAGUCUGAACCUAAAAUCGGUGAUUCCAUGUACAAGUUACAAGUUACUCGUGUCUCCAUGCUCUGGAAAAUGAUCCCCCUUGGUUUGAGGUAUGAAGAACUUGGACUUUUUAAGUCAUUUUCUCUCAAGUAUGUGUCAUUAUAACUGUGCCCUUAGAUAAAACUCACACUUUUUUUCUGAAAUAAUCCUGAUAUUUCAUAUGAAUCAAGUUUCUCAUGUGAUCCAUGGCUUCAGGCAACUUUCAACUCAAGCAAAAAGAAUUGAGAGGCUGGCUUUGUCUCCCUUAAAACUGGCCGAGUUUUAUGCUACUUGGAAAAAGAUGAAACUGCAUUUCCUAGAUGGGUCUUUGCAAGACAAAGCCCUUUGAUUUCAGAGAGUUUUCUUGCCUUACUAAGAGAAGGAGCAGUAAAGCCUCUUCUUCUGUGAGCAUUCAGUGCGGGACUCUGGACACAGCUGGCUCUGCAAUGAGCUGGCUUAGACCCUGAAACUUUGAAGAGGCCAUAGUGGAUUUCACGGAAUCAUAGCACGAGUCUUGGAAUGGUUUCAGUUGGAAGGGACCUCAAAAUUUCACCUCAAAAUACCUCUGAUGUACAUGGUAUGUGCAAGAUUCAUGUGCAAGGUCUGCUUAUACCUGUAUGGUGCUGUUAUGCCCCUGCAUAGAUCGAUAUAUUAGAUGCUCCUUUGGCUGGGGCAGCCCUCUCUAUCUGAUAUGCCGGCAAGACUCAAUAUCCUCUGUUUUAACCUGUGCUGUGCUUCAGCACCCCCCUUUGCAGAUUAAGCCCAAAGCAAGCACCCAAUGAAUGAAGAAAACCCUCACUGCUGUUCUUCCAAAUUUAUUGUGCUUUCUGUUACCUGCCCCACUUGCUGAGCCCUCUCUGUGUGACGAACCUGCAGCAGAGGACUGAUGCUCUUAUGGCUGGCCACAUACCCACCCCAAGAGUGUUACAGUCCUGGUGGAAGACCGCUAGGUCAUGACAGUGAGAAGCAUUUUUGCACCUACAGUGGAGAACAAGAGAAUAACAGCUCAUAAAGCUCCUGUUCCCAAGUGCUCUAUCAAAAGGGAAAGACGUGAGCACCCUGCUGCCUCAGGUGAGUUGUGGUUGCUUGCUUGUCUGCCCAUGCUGGCACACUGGGACUUCAGCACUGCUGGGGAAACAGUUAAUGAAAUAAACAUGCUCCAUUUCUCGGCCAUUUAAGCUAUUUUCACUUGUGUCAGGUUUCAUUUUACAAAGCCCUGAUGUUGUGGCUGAAAGCAGUCGGCAGUUUGAAGCUUCUGAGAAGAGUUUCACAAUGGAUCAUCCAGUAUGUGGUAAUGCAUCUUUUUGACACCAAAUUUUGCACUUCUUCCCAUUAGAACUUCCAGCUGAAUAUGAAUUUAACUUUGUUUUAGGCACAAGCACCCUUCCAAUCCCAGAUGGCCUCAGCAUGCAACAAUCCCCUGGAUAAGGCUGAGCCUUCAGCUCACAUUUAGAGUUCAGCUGGCUACAAUUUACAUGAGAAAUAGUUGGCAGUUCAGCCCAUUUUGUCAUCUUCUCUGCUUCUUCUGCCAUGUCAGAUCUCUUUCAGCCUUAGAAGAAGACUAUGUGCAUGAAGAGAACAAAGUCCCGCUGCUGAGACAUUUAAAUGCCAUAAAAUGUCAGAAUAUCUGAUGUGCUUCAAGAUCUUAAAAAAGGAUUAGAAGUGCAGAGAAUUCAUUGGCUGCUGACAUGCAGCUAAUAGCACGUUUGUAUGCAAUGAUUUCACACUGUUUCUGCAGUUUUAAAUGUCAUGUAAGUGUAUAAAUUCCUUUCAAACAUAACCUUUACUAUGGGAACAUCAAUAACAGAAAAAUCUAAUUAAAGGAUAAAAAAAACUUUGUGGAAACAUAGCCUUUUUCAUAUCAAAUUGGUAAUGAAUUAAUAGAAUUCUAUGAGGGAUAUUAUUUCAGAUGAGUGCUGACCAGCACAGAGAAAACACAACCUUCCACAACAUCAUUUAGUGGACGUUUCUCCCCUCCCUUCAGCAACCCAUCCUCACUCUUUGUAAUCCUGCAUGAAUUAUUAUUCUGUGUGGCUGCAUCAAAACACACAAAAACAGCAGCUGGACCUCUGAAACCUCCCCAUUUCCUUCAGCCAGAAUCCCUCGCACUGGGACACUUGCCACCUUGCCACAGUCUGUUACACCCAAGCCUGUGGCUGAUGAAUUACAGCUCUGUCAGUUGUCCUGUCCAGCAAAUUGCCAGCGCGUGAGGAGGAACCCAGCAUCAUUAACAGCGUUACAGAGCACCAUGGACAAAGUAAUAGCAGGCUGUGUUUCCCUCGCUCAGUGCUUCCCCUGGAAAACUAGGCCAUGGUGUCCUUCAAACCAUAAUGAGAAUUACUAUUGAGAGGACUGUCAAUCUAUGUAACAGAAGAAACGAGGCUUGACAGUUCAGAAAAUUGGGGAUAAGUACAGUAGGAGAACCAAUUACUGUGAAAUGAUUCUUUCUUUUUUUCUCUAUGCUCAGUCUAAAACAACGAGAACUGACCCAGGCCAAAGCUGUUGUCUAAUUUUGACAACAUACGGUUAUCUGUACCGAGCUGUUGAGUUUUGCCUGGAAGAUUUAGGAUAUGAUAAAGUUCAAUUUAGGGUGUUCUCUCCCUAAGCAAAUAGUUAAGUCUGUGCUGCAGAAGUGAGAUCUGAAAAUGCCAUAUCACAAUGCAAAUGGACCAGCAGAGCAGCCCUCACCCCUUUCUGUUUCUUUUAUUGUAUCCCUAGAGAAUCCCUGCAAGAAUAAUUUUGUCUUCUGGGACUUUCCAACCAUCGUUUACUUUCCCUUCCAUCGUGAUCAUUUAGAAACUAUUAACCUUCCAGGCUUCACUGGUGUGGCUCCUUCACCUCCCUCCACAUCACUCUGUGGCAGCUGCCAGCCCUGAUACGACCCAUGAUGGGAGCAGCAGUUUUGGGAGCAGUCAGCCCUGGGAUAAAUCACUGUGACAAAACCACAUUUCUGGACUCCCCAGCACAGGGCACAAACGUCUCCAAAUGAGGGAGGUUCCCCAUCUAGCCACUGCAGCCCCGCAAAAUUCCUUUAAUUGGAGCCCUACAUCUCUCAUUGCUCUUAAAGUGGUGCAGACCAAAGCAAUGCUUGGGAGUCACCUCUCCUCAUUUUUAACACCCAGCUCUCGGUGCUUGCCUCUGCUGGUGGAUGUGCAGAGAGCAAUUCCUUCUUCAUGCCUUUUGGCAAGAGCAGUGUAUGUCUUAAACGUGGAAGUAUUUUUAAAUUUACUCAAAAAACUCAGGAAUUACAUAGUUUUAAAUGCACCCUGUCUACUGUAGCAACUAGCGUUGGCCACUGACCUGUACCAGUUUUCCAGGGUAUAGUUCAAAGUUCUCUGUCAUUACAAAAAAAGAGAUUUUUUUAAGCCCUGAAGUAGGAGAUUUAACCUUCCCAUGCUUACUGCAGUGUGCUGUGACUAUGAAAAUCCAUAUAAGCUGUGAGGACUCCAGUACCCUUCUUGAGCUUGCUGAGUUAGUCAGUUGACUUCAAUGAAGUCCUGUGGCAGUGAAUACUGCCUACUAAAAAAAAAAGCAUUUUCUUUCAUGGAUUUCUGCAUUUCCCAGUUUUUCAUUGCAUUAAAGGAUUUCACCAGUUAUUUACCUGUUCUGUACGCAAAACAUUGCUCAGUAGAAUCUAGAAAAACUAAUGCCAUAGUAUCAAAUGUAGCCAUUCUUAUAGCACUACAAAUGCUAUUACUUGCAGUACAGUUCAUGAAAUAAUUUUUAUCUGGUUCUUCUGGUGAGCAGUUUAUAAACAGAAUCUUGAGUGCCAGGGUCAGAUUCUCAGAGAGGUUCAGAACCCAGGGGAAUGACAUCAGUGUAAUUUGCAUGUUAUCUACUUGGGCAAGUUGAAAAAGCUGCAGUUCCAGCAUUAGUAACCGCCUUUCUAUUCUUCUACUGUUUGUAUCUAUACAAGAAAGUAAAUACUUUAAAUAUAGGGAACUGCGCUGGGGAUGGCUUUUUCCCUGUGUAGAUUAUGAAAACUGUGGGCACUUUUGUUGAAGUAUAGAGAUCUGCACACUGCCCUGUGCAUCAGUGUGGGUGCGUGGUGUCUCUCAGGGCCCCCUCAUCCAGGGAUCAUGCUGCUCUCAUCUUCAUCUAGAAAGAUGUUCAGUUACAAACUGAUACAGCUUUCAUCAAGCAAAUAAACCUUGAGUACUGGUUGUGAGACAAGGCCCAGGACAGAACGAGGUCCUUCCUCCUUCCUUUCCAAUUUCGGAUCUCACCUGCUUUGCUGGAGCAAGGCCACAGCCUGCCAGCUUUCACCUAUUUCAUAACUACAUUGCUCUUAUUGCCAGAGGGAAUGAAACAGCACAGAAAUGGCAACAAGGGUGAAGUGUGCAGCUCUUUAAGCCUGUGUACAGGAAAGGUGAGCACAAAGCACGGCUCGGCAGAGAAGGAUGUUCAGGAAGCACUGUUUCCAGUGCUGCUGGCUGGCUGCUCCCUCUCCGCAGCACGGAUGGUGGCACAGCUGCUCGCUGCAGGGAUGCUCUGCACUCUGCAGUGAGAUCCCUACCCACAGCCCCACACUGGUCCCAGAGGAGGUCUGCUUGUCUACUCCCUCUGUCGUCAUUUUUCAGCAGUCCUGGCACAAUCAUUACCAGUAUGUUACACAAAUAAAGAUCUCUUACUCUCUUACAGGGCAGUAGUGAUAUUUAACUCCUCUGCCCUCAGGACCCCAAACACCCAGGCUCGCUUUGCAGCUGACUGACAGCAGCUAUACGUUAAAGGCCUCCUCAGCAGCCCAUGGCAUGCUGGAGCAUGACUGAUGAGCACGUACCUCUGAAAAAACACUUGGACAUGAAUGUGCUUUGUAAAACCCAAUGUACAUGACAUUCAAAUAUAUCCUAAAGUUGAACUAUUUAUUAGGCAUUUUAUUUCACUCCUAGCAGGCACUGGGGGGGGGAAUUUUCUUCAGCAGUCACAAUAUGUUUCUUCUGUUACCUCAGAAUGUGCUAGGUGUCAUUUCCUCCAAUUUAUUGAUGGAGGAAACCAAGGGAUGGAGAACAAAACCUGGCCUGAGUUCCUGCGCUCCACUUCCUGGCUGCGCUGCUUUCCUUCUCCCCGAGCAGCUCUUGGCUCACAGUGCAGUGCUGGACCCCGCACUCCACCUCUAUCUCCACGGAUACACGGGCAGCUCACCUCCACUCCAUCCAAAAGCUCCUCUACAGGCUGCAGAUAUUCCAGCAAGGACAAGGCACUUCCAACCAGGCAGGAGUGGCUGGUGGCAGCUGAACCCGCGUUGGCAGUGCUCCCACAGUGUGCUCCCACGUCACAUCCAUUUUGUCCUGAGGGACCACUAACAUCUCCAGUGCCACUGGAUCCUCCAGAGCACAGGGAUCCUAUGGGAUGACACCAAGACCACGCCAUCCCAUGGCUGCCCAUACUCCUGGGCUAAAAUUCCCCAUAUUGUUUAACAUUCAGUUGCCUCCCCACUCCCUUCUGCUUUCCAGCUCGCUACACUCUACAGCGGGUGCUCCCCUGUGCCUACAAGGGUUCCUGUUGCUCUUCACUCAAGCCCUGUUUCUAACCUUCUGCUGUGCUGCUUUUUGCAGCUCUGCCUUUCCCCAGCCACCAGAGAACAGAGGUGAUGAGUCAGAAAGGGAAGUUUAAUAGUGUCCGGAAACAGAAAUAACCAGAAAACCUUGAAUAGUUUUACUGCCUUUUUUCUUACUGAGAACAAGUUGUAAAGAAUAAAGGGAAUCACGGGUUAGUUUGGAAAAUUAUAGGACUGAUCUGUUCCACGACUGCUUUCACGACAGAGGGAAUAAGAACCUGAGAGUUGUAAGACUGUGGGGAGUUUUUUCAGACUUUUACAGGAGUUCAAACAACUGGAGAUAGGAUACCUGCAGAUCUAUUAAUUUUUAAACCAAGUUAGUAAAUAUUCUAUUUAGAAAGCUUAACUGGUUAGUGAUGAGGUGUGAAUAGAAGAAGAAAAAAGUGGUGAAGUCCUACACCCAUUACAGGUAAAAGCAGCAAGCUAACGACUUCCCCAGUAUUAAAAUCCCAUGGGCCAGGCAUCCCACCGCAGCAGCUCUCCAGCUGUCAGCCAUGGGGUGUGAAGUACACACCACUGCAUGGGCUGCAAGAUUGCCCCCUUUGCAAGUAGUACUCUCCAUUUUGAUCCUCAACACAGGUGUAAAACUAGGUAGAUUCAGGCUUAUUGAAAGGAGUUGGACUCAAUGAUCCUUACGGGUCUCUUCCAACUUGGGAUAUUCUAUGAUUCUGAGAAAGAUUAUUACACGUGCACAGGACAGCCAGGAGUUCCCUCGACAUGUGCAGCAAACAAUGCAUACAGCAAGCAGAAGUAUUACUGACAAAACUGCAUUAAUGCAGUAGAAAUCCAGGAAAUCAUACAAAUGGAAAUGUAAGAACUGCAAGACUGGAAGAUUAGGUCCUUUUAGGAUUAGUUCAUUUGAUUAGGAGACCAGAAUUAAAAUUUGGAGCUCAUUUCCAUUUUUCAUGCUGGCAAUUCUGAUUCAUCUCUCUGCUGCUUCAGCUCCAAAACAGGAAAAAGUGAGCAUGGUAACCAGCCAGGGAGUCUUAUAAAAAUAUUCCUGGGUAGCUGAAAACCGGCCUGACUCAUACAGCAUCUUCCACUGUGCCUACACCAGCCAUGAAAGUCCAUGAAAUGGGGCACCCACCUAGCACUUCCUGCUGCAGAAACAUGAGAAUAUAAAGAAACAAAAGGUCCGAGGUGGAGAAGACAUCCUGCAAUACUGUGCUUAAGUCCUGAUCCUGUUGACUUGAGUAGGAAGACCAGCACUGAGAGCAGAAGGGCCACAGCUUCUUCAGAACUUGUCCCCGAGCUCUGUUUUGAAUGCUUUGGCUGCUUUGAUGACAUCAACAGGCCCAGAAGUGCCCCUCAGGAUGUGCUGCUGGAGGAAUUCUUGGAGGACUGAGUUGCCAUGUGCAGGUGGCUGUGAGUUCAGAGGACGGAGGGCAUGGUCCUGGGCUUUGCAGUUCCAUCUCCAGUGGCUGCUACAGACCUCACCAAGCACAACUGCUGAAAAGGGAGUGAGGCAGAAGGAAUGAAGAUGGGGCUGAUAUUUUUUAGAGAUGCUCCUUUUAAAAGCUGGUUCUGUUUUAUCUUUUUUCUUGUGUUAAAAAAUGAACUCGCUGUUGCCGUCUACAUGGCUAAUAAUCUCUAUGUGAAUGUUUCCUUUCCUAAUUACUAUUUUCUUUUAAAUUAAGCAAUAUGUUGACAUAUUUCUCUACACAUACCCUUACUCACUUACUGGAGUCAAACAAAAGCCAAAAAUACAGUCAGAUAAACAGCCACUUGUGUCUUGGCUCCACCUUCCAGAGUUCAAAGCUAUAUAAACAGUUCAACUGCAUUACAGCACAUUUAAGAAAAUAAAGGCAAAGAAAAGCGUAACAUCAACUUGUGGAGUGUUUUACUAAGAGCACUUCACCAGAUUUUGGGUGUUUAUACUUCUGUAUAAGCUAAAAUAAACACUGUCAAAAGGGACUAAUAAUAAAAAUAAAUUGCAUCGUGGAUGCAAACAAUGCUUUAAGAAAGUACAACUGAAAAAAAUAUGCUAAUAAAUUUGGUUUUGAAAUUAUCAUUACUGGGUUAACAAUAGAACCUGAUACUUUGCUUGCAGGUGUUUAUGUUGCAUUCUCUUAGCAUGUAACAUGCAAACUCUCUGAAGGAUUUUUAGCUACACAUCACCUUUCAAAGCGUGUCUGAGUUCAUUUUAAGGCUUUAUGUUACAUACAGAUUUGGACCACGUAUGAAUAAUGCACAAAACCAACUUCCAUUUUAAGGUCUCAGUACUAUACUAGAAUCCAAAAGUAUUUAAAUGGUCAUUCUGUUAACCGCAUCUAUUUUAGCUGUUGGGUUGCUUUUGUUGUUUUGGUUUUGUUUUGUUUGUUUAGGCAGAUGGUAUAUACGGAUAUUACUCACAAAACAGAAUUAUCUUGAUUUUUAGUGAGAUACAGCAGGAUCAGAGGAGUUACAUGUAUUGCAGAGUUCAGCAUACAAAACCUGCCA